This 202-nucleotide unclassified non-coding RNA is filed under the name Hevea brasiliensis (rubber tree). Lineage: Eukaryota; Viridiplantae; Streptophyta; Magnoliopsida; Malpighiales; Euphorbiaceae. The record is from RNAcentral.
UUCUGAACCGGACCAUAAAUCCCCUGGACCCCAAAGAGAACAAAGUGAGUGGUCAACAAAGAAGGGCAGUGACUUAAAGCAAACAAAAAAUCUUUUAAGAUCCAUCAUCAAAAAUGAAAAUGAAUAUAGGAAUUCAUGAGUUAAAAGAUAAGAUAAACACCUGACCAGCAAGUAAUGCAUUCAAAGAAAAAAUAUUGGAUAG